GACGAACGCUGGCGGCGUGCUUAACACAUGCCAGUCGAACGGAAAGGCCCUGCUUUUGUGGGGUGCUCGAGUGGCGAACGGGUGAGUAACACGUGAGUAUCCUGCCCUUGACUUUGGGAUAACUUCAGGAAACUGGGGCUAAUACCGGAUAGGAGCUCCUGCUGCAUGGUGGGGGUUGGAAAGUUUCGGCGGUUGGGGCUGGACUCGCGGCUUAUCAGCUUGUUGGUGGGGUAGUGGCUUACCAAGGCUUUGACGGGUAGCCGGCCUGAGAGGGUGACCGGCCACAUUGGGACUGAGAUACGGCCCAGACUGCUACGGGAGGCAGCAGUGGGGAAUAUUGCACAAUGGGCGGAAGCCUGAUGCAGCAACGCCGCGUGCGGGAUGACGGCCUUCGGGUUGUAAACCGCUUUCGCCUGUGACGAAGCGUGAGUGACGGUAAUGGGUAAAGAAGCACCGGCUAACUACGUG
RNAcentral lists this ribosomal RNA (468 nucleotides) under uncultured bacterium. RNAcentral describes it as "partial 16S ribosomal RNA". It matches the Rfam family "Bacterial small subunit ribosomal RNA", at positions 28 to 507 of the family's 1533-position model. The record is from RNAcentral.